AAUAUUAGCCUACAACUACAAGCACUACAGACCUUCACCUUCCACUCUUAUGUUUAGUUAGGACCUUAUUAUGUGAUGAAAAUGUAAUUUUAUUUAGUAUUAUACUGUUGAGUGUUUCUCAAAUGAGUGAUAAUUGAGUUUCUUAUCUAAAAUAUUAAAAAGUGAAUAAAGAAUUAUCCUCUUGCAAUAAUUGCUGUGAUAGCCAGUCUUGAGCUGUUCUUGAAGGUCUGCCAUUGCAGCUUUUCGGGGACUUGUUGCCUUGCCUACCGACUUUCAUCGGCAUGACACCAGGAACAGGCACAGGCUGAACCUCCCUUACUGUAGAUUGGGGAGGACUCAAAACAGCUUGGCCUACCAGCCGGUGAGGAUCCUCAACAAGCUGCCCAUUUCCGCCAGAGGUUUGCCUGAGGUGGUCUUGAGGAGGAGAUUGAGGACGUUCCUGCAUGAAAAUCCCUUUUACUCUUUAAGGGAAUUUUUUGAAUGUGACACGGCAACUAAUGGAGUGCAAGAAUAUUCCGGCUAAGUUCCAUCGUGAAAGAGUUGGCGUUGCAUCUAGUGCAGAUGCUCCAUUCACCCAUAACAAGAUCGAAGUUGAACUGGUUUGUUGCCGCUUCAACGGAACUUGCUAUUAUACCACACAACCUAGAACAUCACCAUCUAGUGAUGUCAUCUCUUAAUCCAAUUUCCAUCACCAUCAUCAUAAACCAGGCUCCAUCACCAUCAUCAUAAACCAGGCUUCAUCAUAGAUUACUUCUGCUCAGACUUGGAUCACCAUGCUAUAAUAAGUCAAUUGAUAACAUAUCCGAUAUGUCAAUAAUCCUCAUUUUAUAGUAAACCCUUGAGAUUGAAGUGCUAGAUGAAUUACUUGAAAAGGUGACGGUCAACCCGAAUUUAUGUUUCUUGAAUUAUCUUUGUCCGGUUGUGAAUCACCCAGAAUUGUGCAUGGGUUUUUGCCAGAUCAAUGCGAAUGAAGUUUACCAUAAAAAUAUUUUAAGGGACGGUUUCCGAGCUCGGGAUUUAGCUAAGUUCUAGACUUUAAACAGCUGGAGUCAGAAAACUGGCUUUCUGAAAAACGGGGCCUCGUCGUAGUCCACGUUUAAAUUAAACUUCGAAAAACUAGAAAGUUGAACACAAAAUAAGAUAACGAGUAAAUUGUGUAAAGUCUCAGCUAUUUUAAUAAUUUAGGAAUGCUUCAUUCAGUCAAGAAAAGACGUUACCAACAUUUUAGAAAUGAGAAAAUAAAUAUCUUGAAAACCAUGACUACGCUCCAUUUCAGAAAGCCAAUUUUCUGACUCCAGCUGUUUAAAGUCUAGAACUAAGCUAAAUCUCGAGCUCGGAAGCCGGCCCUAUAAUUAUGUCUCCUAGUUGCUUUACUUUCAAGUGACUUAAACAUAAAUUUAUUCUAAUCAAUUUUUUUUAUACAGUGAUGAAAAAUCGAUCCAUACCGAUAUUUCCAUCAGUCAAUAAAUGAAAUUAAUAUUCAUGUAAUAGGAAAAAAGACUUACCACUUUUGUAUUAACUUAUUGUUAACAAUAUAGCUGACAAACAAGGCUCUCUGGGCCGCUUUUGGUAAAGUGAGGAAGUUGUUUUUCAAAUUGAUAAUUACAUUCUACUGGAAGCGGCUGGAGAGGUGUCUACACGAAGAAACUAUUAUUCUACACAUAUCAUAUAGUUAAGUUAGUUGAGUUGAAAAUGUAUUUAUACAGAGUAAGUCAUAAUGUAUGGGAACCCUUCAAUAAGUUGGAGACUGUUGUAGUUAUAAUACUGUAACUUUCAGGAUAAGUUAUUGGACGAAUACUCUACCUUUUGA
RNAcentral lists this unclassified non-coding RNA (1810 nucleotides) under Nilaparvata lugens (brown planthopper). Its description in RNAcentral is "uncharacterized LOC111058358, transcript variant X4". Lineage: Eukaryota; Metazoa; Arthropoda; Insecta; Hemiptera; Delphacidae. The record is from RNAcentral.